CUCAGGAUUGAUCGGAUUAGAUCAGGCAGAUCGAUAGAUAUAGAAUCGUGCGAGUAUAAUAGAAUUGAAAAAAGAUGUAAAAACCAUUACACAACAAGGCAGGAUAAAAAGAUAAUUACGAUGAAUGAAGAUAAUAAUAUUGAGCAAAAUCAAUUUGCUAAUGAAGCCUGCGCAAAUAGAUUUUGAGCAGAGCCUGCCUGUCGAAUGCAUAUUCUGCCACCAAUCUGCUCACAUUGCUUGUCAGCAAAACUUUGUUGAUAGAAUACAAGUGUAAUGCACAGAUCAAAAACUCUAAAUAUCAGUGGACAAUGCAAACUACAAAAUUUUUAAUAGAAAAUGUUAGAAACCAUAUGGUAUCAUUAAAUAAUAAAAAUUGUAUGCAUAAAACAAUAUGGAGAAGAAUAGCAAAUAAUUUUAAGAAAAAAGAUUACAAUGUAACCGAGGAACAAUGUUACACUAAAUGGGAAAAUUUGAA
Odontomachus brunneus is the source of this 475-nucleotide long non-coding RNA. RefSeq lists it as uncharacterized. The transcript is spliced from 4 exons. The record is from RefSeq and is a predicted model, not a curated record. NCBI's taxonomy places the organism in Eukaryota, Metazoa, Arthropoda, Insecta, Hymenoptera, Formicidae.